Pan troglodytes (chimpanzee) is the source of this 719-nucleotide long non-coding RNA. RefSeq lists it as uncharacterized. The transcript is spliced from 2 exons. The record is from RefSeq and is a predicted model, not a curated record. NCBI's taxonomy places the organism in Eukaryota, Metazoa, Chordata, Mammalia, Primates, Hominidae.
AGAUCUGUUAACCAAGAAAUCUACUAAGUAAAUCACAGGCAGGGAGGGUAGAUAGCCUGGAGACGCUGGACAGAGAGGAUUAACCUCCUGGGGAUACUGAGGGGCUACUUGUGAGAUGGCAAAAAAGAGAUAUGGCAACCAGAAUUUCCCUCAGUCGCCCCUGACAAGUUCUCCUACAUCUUCACACAAAGUAAGAGGGCCGCCACUUCACAGUGAUCUCAGCACUCCUAAUGCCAUUUGGAAAAUUCUGGACUUGGAUUAAGCACUACUCAGGCAGGACAGUUCACAGAUAUCUGUGAGCCAUGACUUAAGGCCCAUCAUCUCUGAAGCUAUUUCCAAGUUAGUUAGCAUCAUAUGGACAAACAGAGGGAGAGGCAGAAAGAGAAAUUUCUUUUCCUGCAAUGUAUGUGUUAUGUUAACAAUAGGAUACAAUGAAGUUAGGGAAUCACGUAUGAAUGUAAAUGCCCCUGCAUCCCCACCGUGUUCAGUACUUUAUGUAUUACCUUUGUCUUUUCCAUGAUAUGCUUCUUACACAUUCCCCCAGUCUUUCCAUGGUUAUCUGUCAAUUGUCAAAUGCUGUUUACCUAGAGCAUCGGGGUUCUCAUUUGCUAGACUUUUUUUUUGCAGUUUAUUAUUCUUUACCUCUGUUUACUAAACUCCAGCAUCUCACCUACAUUAUGUAACUUUUUAUCAAAGUUAAGUGAAAUGUAGAUCUUGAA